UCAAAGUUAAAUCAUUAUUAGCACAAUUACACUGCAAAAAAUUUCCAAUGAAUUUUACUAUGUGUGAAUAGUAAUACCGGACUAUAAGAAAACUGAUACAAAAUUUACAAGUUCCCGUAGUAAACGGUAUGCGUAGACGACACGAUUGUGUAAUCUGCGCAUACGUUUACUAUGGGAACUUGUAAAUUUUGUAUCAGUUUUCUUAUGGUCCGGUAUUACUAUCCACACAUAGUAAAAUUCAUUGAAAAUUUUUUGCAGUGUAG
Cotesia glomerata is the source of this 263-nucleotide long non-coding RNA. RefSeq lists it as uncharacterized. The transcript has 3 exons. The record is from RefSeq and is a predicted model, not a curated record. Lineage: Eukaryota; Metazoa; Arthropoda; Insecta; Hymenoptera; Braconidae.